GAUGAACGCUGGCGGCGUGCUUAACACAUGCAAGUCGAACGAGAAAUGUAGACGGAAACCUUCGGGCGGAAGCCUUCAUUUCGAGUGGCGGCCGGGUGAGUAACGCGUGGGUAACCUGCCUCAUACAGGGGGAUAACAGUUGGAAACGACUGUUAAUACCGCAUAAGACCACAGCAUCGCAUGAUGCGGGGGUAAAAACUCCGGUGGUAUGAGAUGGACCCGCGUUCGAUUAGCCAGUUGGCGGGGUAACGGCCCACCAAAGCGACGAUCGAUAGCCGAUCUGAGAGGAUGACCGGACACAUUGGGACUGAGACACGGCCCAAACUCCUACGGGAGGCAGCAGUGGGGAAUAUUGCACAAUGGGGGAAACCCUGAUGCAGCGACGCCGCGUGAGUGAAGAAGUACUUCGGUAUGUAAAGCUCUAUCAGCAGGGAAGAAAAUGACGGUACCUGAGUAAGAAGCCCCGGCUAACUACGUG
RNAcentral lists this ribosomal RNA (478 nucleotides) under uncultured bacterium. RNAcentral's name for it is "partial 16S ribosomal RNA". It matches the Rfam family "Bacterial small subunit ribosomal RNA", at positions 28 to 507 of the family's 1533-position model. The record is from RNAcentral.